GUUGCCGCCGCUGCUGCUGCCGCUACCGCUGUUCGAAUUCAUAUUCGAGUUGCUAGCACGUCAUUGGGCAGCGACCAUGCUGGGGCACCGUAUUCAAGGAUUUUAAUAGAAUACAUUGAUCUCAGUACUUAGGCUGUGUUUUAAAAUCUGUUAUUGAACAGCGGUCAUGGACAACAUAUGGAAGGGUUUAAUCGAAUUGUGGUUACAGUAGAAGACAUUUUCCCAAGGUGCCAUGCCGUGGGACUGAACCCGAAACCAAAUUGUAGCAAAGCGAACUUCUUAUCCACACGGUCACGCUAGCACCUAUUUAAGUUUCUCGCUAUGUGCCCCGUUGCAGUUACACAGAAGGUAACAACAGCAAAAACAACAACAACAACAACAGCAUCAGCAGUUUCCGUCUGCCAAAUCCACUCACAAAGCUAUGGUCGGUCCGAGGCUAAAGUAGAAGACAUUUGCCUAAGGUGCUAGGGAGUGAGACUGAACUUGAGACCAUGAGGUUGAGAAGCAAAUUUCUUGCCACACAACCACGGCUAUGUAUCUACAUGAAUCUUUCUAUUUGCGCACACACACACACACACACACACACACACACACACACACACACACACACGCACACGUAUACACAUAUACAUCAAUCCGUACAAACGAACAUUUUAAACUCCAGUAGAGGCUCAACUGUUUGACGAUCUUAUGUCUUUAAUCUGACAUAUUUCUCGCUAAAACAUUAGUCCUGCAAUUUAUUACAGACGUUCUACUUCCUAUUUCGUCGUCCGCCAUCAUAGCCAUGGUGUUCACGUAUUCCUGAAAAUGUCACUUUUAAUUUAGUUGAGAAACUAUUUAAGACACCCCGCUUCGCUUUCGAACAGCAGAAGGCUUCAAAUCAAGUGGGAAACAAGUAUUAAGUUUAUAAAAUGGCAGAGGUGAAGUUUACAUCUUGAAAUAAAUUAUUCUUGUUGUUGCUGUUGCUGUUGUAUCUACUGCUACCGAUACUGCUGUUUAACCUCAGAAUAUGAACUACAAUACUGGAUUAACUAA
Molecule: long non-coding RNA, 1035 nt
Organism: Octopus bimaculoides (California two-spot octopus)
Lineage: Eukaryota; Metazoa; Mollusca; Cephalopoda; Octopoda; Octopodidae
Source: RefSeq, a predicted model, not a curated record